UACGGGAGGCAGCAGUGGGGAAUAUUGCACAAUGGGCGCAAGCCUGAUGCAGCCAUGCCGCGUGUAUGAAGAAGGCCUUCGGGUUGUAAAGUACUUUCAGUCGUGAGGAAGGUGUUAAGGUUAAUAACCUUAGCAAUUGACGUUAGCGACAGAAGAAGCACCGGCUAACUCCGUGCCAGCAGCCGCGGUAAUACGGAGGGUGCGAGCGUUAAUCGGAAUUACUGGGCGUAAAGGGCACGCAGGCGGUUAAUUAAGUUGGAUGUGAAAUCCCCGGGCUUAACCUGGGAAUGGCAUUCAAGACUGGUUAGCUAGAGUCUUGUAGAGGGGGUUAGAAGUUCCAUGUGUAGCGGUGAAAUGCGUAGAGAUGUGGAGGAAUACCGGUGGCGAAGGCGGCCCCUGGACAAAGACUGACGCUCAUGUGCGAAAGCGUGGGGAGCAAA
RNAcentral lists this ribosomal RNA (440 nucleotides) under uncultured bacterium. RNAcentral's name for it is "bacterial SSU rRNA". It matches the Rfam family "Bacterial small subunit ribosomal RNA", at positions 340 to 772 of the family's 1533-position model. The record is from RNAcentral.